AACGAACGCUGGCGGCAUGCCUAACACAUGCAAGUCGAACGAGACCUUCGGGUCUAGUGGCGCACGGGUGCGUAACGCGUGGGAACCUGCCCUUAGGUUCGGAAUAACUCCCCGAAAGGGGUGCUAAUACCGGAUAAUGUCUUCGGACCAAAGAUUUAUCGCCUUGGGAUGGGCCCGCGUUGGAUUAGCUAGUUGGUAGGGUAAAAGCCUACCAAGGCGACGAUCCAUAGCUGGUCUGAGAGGAUGAUCAGCCACACUGGGACUGAGACACGGCCCAGACUCCUACGGGAGGCAGCAGUAGGGAAUAUUGGACAAUGGGCGAAAGCCUGAUCCAGCAAUGCCGCGUGAGUGAUGAAGGCCUUAGGGUUGUAAAGCUCUUUUACCCGGGAUGAUAAUGACAGUACCGGGAGAAUAAGCGCCGGCUAACUCCGUG
RNAcentral lists this ribosomal RNA (433 nucleotides) under uncultured bacterium. Its description in RNAcentral is "partial 16S ribosomal RNA". It matches the Rfam family "Bacterial small subunit ribosomal RNA", at positions 29 to 507 of the family's 1533-position model. The record is from RNAcentral.